UCCAAAUCCCGCACGACUUUGGGACGCGGGAGGAAACCGGAGCACCCGGAGUAAACCCACGCGGUCACGGGGAGAACGUGCAAACUCCGCACAGACAGCACCCGUGGUAAGGAUGGAACUCGGGUCUCUGGCGCUGUGAGGCAGCAAUUCUACCGCUGCUCCACCCCAUACAUCUAUACAUUGAUGAUCAUCCCAAUAAUACCACAACAAUUCUUCAUUAUACUCCGUCUCGUAGACGCAGUCUUCCAUUUUGUGUGCCUUCUCUCCUUGUUUGUUAAUAAAGGUUCUGUUACCCUGGGAUUGUUGUCAUGUGGUUACCAGCCUACGUUCUGUAAAGCAACCAACUUAAAAUACAAAAAUCCAUAUUUAAAUCUUUUACUGUGUGCACUUGUUACUCAUUAACACUAAUAAAGCUUUUUAUUCUUUCUU
This is a long non-coding RNA of Amblyraja radiata (thorny skate), 429 nucleotides long. RefSeq lists it as uncharacterized. The transcript has 2 exons. NCBI's taxonomy places the organism in Eukaryota, Metazoa, Chordata, Chondrichthyes, Rajiformes, Rajidae. The record is from RefSeq and is a predicted model, not a curated record.